Molecule: long non-coding RNA, 814 nt
Organism: Lycium barbarum (goji berry)
Lineage: Eukaryota; Viridiplantae; Streptophyta; Magnoliopsida; Solanales; Solanaceae
Exons: 3
Source: RefSeq, a predicted model, not a curated record
AUACAUUGGGACAACCCGGAUUAAUUAUGAUAAUUUAAGGCCAAGAUUUUUCCGGGAUUUGAAGUCGGGACUUUUGACCAUUUGAUUUUAAUUUGAGAUAUAAGUCAUGUAUGAAAUUGAUGGCAUUGAACACUUAGGGAAAAUUGGGACUACAAUUCAUAAAAUUGGAAUUAAAAUGUUGUGCAAAAAAAUAAAAAAUAAAAAAUAAAUUCCUUGGUGGCCAUGUAAAUGGGAAUUGGUCCCACACAUUGUGUGGCCAAUUUUAAUUGGUCCACUCCAUGUGUGGGCCAAGGACACUUGGACAACAACUAUAUGAGCCUAAAGUAUGACCAAGUAGUCAUCUUUUCCCCAUUGCAAGACUUAGAAAAAAAAAUCAAGGAGUUGAAGACCACCUUCAACACCCCUCUCGGCUACAAACCAAGAAAAACCAAAUCCAAAUCAAGCCACCCCAAAAUUAUUUCCUUGGUAUAAAUCAACUAUUUAGAAGUCCCUAAGUAACGUGGAAGAGUUGUUUGGGUCAUCCAACCACUAGUUGUGCCCAAUUGCAAACCCUAACUAUUGAAGGAAGUGAAGAAGGAAGACCUUGGGCAGCCCGAAUCAUAGUUUGGACUUAGCUUGAGUUGGAUCAUAUUGGAGAGCGUUUGAGGUACAGACGCACAGCCUGGUGAUCCACCUGUUUAGGACACCCUUUCUGCUAUUCGGAGUGCUCCUCUCUUUCCGGAGCUUAUACUUUUGGUAUAUAUAUUUUUUAGUGCAUUUGUAUAUAUUCGUUCAUGGGUACGGCGGGGCCCUGUCCCGUCAUAUGAUUAUGUCG